GACGAACGCUGGCGGCGCGCCUAACACAUGCAAGUCGAACGGAGCUUAGAGAGCUUGCUUUUUAAGCUUAGUGGCGAACGGGUGAGUAACGCGUGAGUAACCUGCCCUAGAGUGGGGGACAACAGUUGGAAACGACUGCUAAUACCGCAUAAGCCCACGGUACCGCAUGGCACUGAGGGAAAAGGAUUUAUUCGCUUUAGGAUGGACUCGCGUCCAAUUAGCUAGUUGGUGAGGUAACGGCCCACCAAGGCGACGAUUGGUAGCCGGACUGAGAGGUUGAACGGCCACAUUGGGACUGAGACACGGCCCAGACUCCUACGGGAGGCAGCAGUGGGGGAUAUUGCACAAUGGGGGAAACCCUGAUGCAGCGACGCCGCGUGGAGGAAGAAGGUUUUCGGAUUGUAAACUCCUGUCGUUAGGGACGAUAAUGACG
RNAcentral lists this ribosomal RNA (433 nucleotides) under uncultured bacterium. RNAcentral's name for it is "bacterial SSU rRNA". It matches the Rfam family "Bacterial small subunit ribosomal RNA", at positions 28 to 456 of the family's 1533-position model. The record is from RNAcentral.